This 700-nucleotide ribosomal RNA is filed under the name uncultured Sphingobium sp. Its description in RNAcentral is "bacterial SSU rRNA". It matches the Rfam family "Bacterial small subunit ribosomal RNA", at positions 28 to 774 of the family's 1533-position model. The record is from RNAcentral. Lineage: Bacteria; Pseudomonadati; Pseudomonadota; Alphaproteobacteria; Sphingomonadales; Sphingobiaceae.
AACGAACGCUGGCGGCAUGCCUAACACAUGCAAGUCGAACGAGACCUUCGGGUCUAGUGGCGCACGGGUGCGUAACGCGUGGGAAUCUGCCCUUGGGUUCGGAAUAACAGUUGGAAACGACUGCUAAUACCGGAUGAUGACGUAAGUCCAAAGAUUUAUCGCCCAAGGAUGAGCCCGCGUAGGAUUAGCUAGUUGGUGAGGUAAAGGCUCACCAAGGCGACGAUCCUUAGCUGGUCUGAGAGGAUGAUCAGCCACACUGGGACUGAGACACGGCCCAGACUCCUACGGGAGGCAGCAGUGGGGAAUAUUGGACAAUGGGCGAAAGCCUGAUCCAGCAAUGCCGCGUGAGUGAUGAAGGCCUUAGGGUUGUAAAGCUCUUUUACCCGGGAUGAUAAUGACAGUACCGGGAGAAUAAGCUCCGGCUAACUCCGUGCCAGCAGCCGCGGUAAUACGGAGGGAGCUAGCGUUGUUCGGAAUUACUGGGCGUAAAGCGCACGUAGGCGGUUAUUCAAGUCAGAGGUGAAAGCCCGGGGCUCAACCCCGGAACUGCCUUUGAAACUAGAUGACUGGAAUCUUGGAGAGGUCAGUGGAAUUCCGAGUGUAGAGGUGAAAUUCGUAGAUAUUCGGAAGAACACCAGUGGCGAAGGCGACUGACUGGACAAGUAUUGACGCUGAGGUGCGAAAGCGUGGGGAGCAAACA